This 429-nucleotide ribosomal RNA is filed under the name Chloroflexota bacterium. Its description in RNAcentral is "Chloroflexi bacterium partial 16S ribosomal RNA". It matches the Rfam family "Bacterial small subunit ribosomal RNA", at positions 355 to 776 of the family's 1533-position model. The record is from RNAcentral. Lineage: Bacteria; Bacillati; Chloroflexota.
UGGGGAAUAUUGCACAAUGGGCGCAAGCCUGAUGCAGCCAUGCCGCGUGUGUGAAGAAGGCCUUCGGGUUGUAAAGUACUUUCAGCGGGGAGGAAGGGAGUAAAGUUAAUACCUUUACUCAUUGACGUUACCCGCAGAAGAAGCACCGGCUAACUCCGUGCCAGCAGCCGCGGUAAUACGGAGGGUGCAAGCGUUAAUCGGAAUUACUGGGCGUAAAGCGCACGCAGGCGGUUUGUUAAGUCAGAUGUGAAAUCCCCGGGCUCAACCUGGGAACUGCAUCUGAUACUGGCAAGCUUGAGUCUCGUAGAGGGGGGUAGAAUUCCAGGUGUAGCGGUGAAAUGCGUAGAGAUCUGGAGGAAUACCGGUGGCGAAGGCGGCCCCCUGGACGAAGACUGACGCUCAGGUGCGAAAGCGUGGGGAGCAAACAGG